UGUUUGAAAGUGUGCAGCACCUCCCCACCCCUCCUCUGCUCCCACUCUGGCCAUGUGAGAUGCCAGCUCCCUCUUCACCUUCUGCCAAAAUUGCAAGCAAGAUCUCAUCAGAAGCAGGGCAGAUGCCGGCACCACACUUCAUAUAAAGUCUACAGAACAGUGAGCCAAUUAAACCUCUUUUCUUUAUAAAUUAUCCAGCCUCAGGUACUUCUUUAUAGCAACAUAAGAAUGGCCUAACACAGGGUCUGUCUUAGGAAGGGGCCCUCGGGCUGUCCCUCUUCUCCCUGGCCCUAGCCCAGGAGGAGGACCAGCAAGAGUAGCCAAGUGAGAAGCCUCUCCAUGAAGAUGCCUUCUGCCAUUCAUUACACACACAACAGCAUCUUGGUCGCAGAUGCUGGGUCCCAGAGAGGACCUCAAGGAGACUUCCCAGGAAAUUACCCACCACUGGACAUUGGACGGGGCAAAGCUGUGGCGUGGAAAGGGGCAAAUCCACAUCCCUCCCACGUGUGCCCACAUGAUUGUCCCCGGGGCUUCCAUGAGCUUGAUGACCCAGACGCUAUGGUCCUGCACAUGUGAGUCUGCGACCUGACAGCUGUGCCUGCUUCACCAGUGUAGAGACUCGGAUCCCCAGGCAAACCCCGGAAGUGUGGAAGAGAAGGGGAGAAAGCCUGUGGAGGGAGCUGGAGGAGCCGUGAUUUCCAGUAACCAUCGCGGGUUAGCUCAGAGGGAAAUGUCCACAGCAGAGAUGACUGUGACACCCGGCACAAGAUUUAAUUCUCAGAGUGAAAACAAGAAUGCCGUGUCUCUGGGAGCCCCCGGAGAAUGACUCAACAGUGACGUCCUACAGCAUGAUUAGCUUUCGCUGAAGGUGAAGACAAUCUUUCAGGAGUGGAGAGAAUAUAACUGAAUGCUUUGUCACAAAUUUACUUUGAUCUCAUGUACCCCGUAAAUACAGACACCUACUAUGUACCAGAAAAAUUAAAAACAAAAAUAACAAAUUCACAUUCCGCUUGUUCAUCCUGAUUCUUCAGGCCUGGCCACUGUAUCAAAGACAACAGAGAAGGCCCAUUGCCUGCCCUCAUGCUGGUUGUUCAGCCCUCCAAGAAUCAUUCUUGAUGCCCUGCAAGUACCAGGCGCUGCGCUAGGCCCUGCAGAUGCGACAACGAACGUAGAUGCUGUCCCAGCCACCCACACUCGCUGCCCGGGGAAGAACCAGAGAUGGGGGUCUUGCUAUGUUGCCCAGGCUGGUCUCAAACUCCUGACUCAAACUAUCCUCCUGCCUCAACCUCCCAAGUGCUGGGAUUACAAGUGUGAGCCACCACAUCCGGCAAGAGAAGUUCUAAGAUGCCCCUGUGGAUGCCUGAAACUGCAAAGAGUACCAAGCCUGACUGCCGCCAAUCAGAAGAAGUUUCUGUUCAGGUCUUCCACCCACAAAUGUAUAAUUAUGCAAAGCAAAGAAUCCAGGAAAGAAUUGCCAGAGAAGGAAUUAAAAAUAAGAUGUUACACGAAAGUAUCCACCUUGAUCCUGAAAGAAAAGAAACCAAGGGCAACAGCAGCAAUUGAACAAUCUUGAGCACAGAAAAUCAGACUCCCUGAAGUCAGUGUGAACAAAGCUAAGCUCAACCACAUAAAACAUUUUAUGUACAAUAAGCUCUCAAUCAAGUAAAUAAAGUUCGUUUAAGUUGUAAUAAAUAAAUAGAGAAAUAAAUAAAACUUUUGAAUUGUUUAUUUGUGGAGUUUUAAAUUUAACAUUUUCAGGCUGUGGCUAAAACUCAGGAUAGUGAAACCACACAUAAGAGAGUACUACUGUUAUCACAUCAGCAGGCAUAUAAUGUUAGUCUCAUUAUUUGUAAACCUAACUUUAAAAAAAUUUUUUUAAAUAUUUAUGG
Pongo pygmaeus (Bornean orangutan) is the source of this 1889-nucleotide long non-coding RNA. RefSeq lists it as uncharacterized. The record is from RefSeq and is a predicted model, not a curated record. The transcript is spliced from 4 exons. NCBI's taxonomy places the organism in Eukaryota, Metazoa, Chordata, Mammalia, Primates, Hominidae.